Molecule: long non-coding RNA, 420 nt
Organism: Saccostrea echinata
Lineage: Eukaryota; Metazoa; Mollusca; Bivalvia; Ostreida; Ostreidae
Exons: 3
Source: RefSeq, a predicted model, not a curated record
CACUACUCCUGUACGAGGUAUUCUAGUGUGAAAUACUCCUACACAGUUCCGUGCGGGUUUUGGCACUAGCAAAGAUGUUUCAGAACAAAAUACAGUAGAACAGCGCACCAGAGCUUGUGUUCACGAAAGUGUAAAGUAAAUGGUGCCUGGAGUCCAUGGCAGACUUGGGGAAGCUGGGGGUCAUGUGACCAGACAUGUGGAAAUGCAAUAAGAGUCCGGUAUAGUGUGCGACACUGUAACAACCCAGACCCCAAAAAUGGUGGUACAGGUUGUUCUGGAAAAAAUACAAAGAAAGACACGGAACUCUGUAAUACAAAGGAGUGUCCAGGUAAGAAUGUGUUCUUGGUAAGAAAGUGUACACCAUGAAGAAUGUGACCAUAAAAUAUUACAUACAAUCAUAGCAACCAGACGGUGAUUCAA